Molecule: long non-coding RNA, 1614 nt
Organism: Chrysemys picta bellii (western painted turtle)
Lineage: Eukaryota; Metazoa; Chordata; Testudines; Emydidae
Source: Ensembl
CUUGUGCGUGUUCAACAUCUUUUACGGCGUAUUUCAUGGUGACUGUUCUGUAAUCUGUGCCCACAGCUGUGUGUGUGAACGAGACCUGUGACUGUUGUAUAUUGUGGUGCUGUCUCUUUAAAACGUGUCAUGCUGCCAUGUCCUCCCCUUGCCAGGGAGCUCUCACGUGAGGCAGAGACACUCGGCGGCUGCCUGCUCCGUCUGCAGGAGCCAUCUUGUUAUGUCUGUAGUAAAAAGGUACAUGUGUCUGGUCUCACUCUGGCUUCCUGCAGUACUCGGGCUGCAGCGCGCUCACAAAGACAGUGACACCCGCAGCUGCGGCUGUGCAAGCAGCGCUGUCUGGCGUUAGCAGUGACCCCAGGCUGCAGGAAGUAGCUGUUUUUGCCAGGACACAGCGUGUCAGUAAAUGGUGCAAACUGCAACACACACAGACAAGAAGCUGCAAUGCACAAACCAGCAGAAACCAAACAGAAGGCACAGAGAAUAAAGACACAACAAUCCUGAGAUACAAGAUCGUCGUGCCCCAAAAGACAUCUGGGUUCAAUCUCUCUCUGCAGACAUUGAAUGCUUCCUGCACAGCAGCCUUGCAGCAAAGUUUGAUCUGCUCCUUUCAGACAAGUCACUUCCCACCAUUGCCCCAGCUCCCUGAAUGACAAGAACCAGCCAACUGGGAAACGGGGGAGAGGAUGGUUUAAAACAGGAUUACCGAUUAUAAAUAUUGUUACAAAUCUGGAGCACCCAAGGACUUCCCUGUUGUCACUCUGCUGAACUGCAUGGCCUCUCAGGGCUGCACUAUGACUGUGUGCAUAGGACUUGGCUUCUCCUACCCCAAAAACCUGGGCCUCAAUGACUGGAGUAAAAGGAGAUUCUCCACUAGAUGUUAGCAGUAUAGAGCCUGUGAUACACAACUAAGCAUUUCUGAUUCAUCCAACAAUGCCCUGCAGUGCAUAUAUAUACUAAAUAGCUGGGUACAGUGUUAGUGCUGUUUUAUAAUGGGGAUGAUUCACCUUUACUCCCUGCAGCCCUUUAGCCCUCCCUGGGCUCAGUCGUUAAAUAGUCCCAGCCCUGGUAUGGGGCCAUAUCCCCAGCGCUUCGUCCCUGGAGAUAUGACCUUCCUACGGCCGGGCUCAGUCCCAGCAUCUAGCCAGGAGCUCCUUCUUUGCUCCCCCGGUCCCUACUAGCAAAUUGUCUUUGGCUCAGUCCUGGCAGCCAGCCAGGAGCCUCUCGCUGCCCCAGUCCCUUCCCUCACUUAGCUGUCUGUGCGCCUGCUGCUCUUCAGCCAGGCACACACUCCUUUCUUUUCCAGCUCCAAACAGCAAUUAACUGCUGAUCUGUUCUACAGCUCCUUUUAUAUGGCCCUCCUGGCCUCUGAUUGGCUGUUCUAGCAGCCCCGCUGAUUGAUUGCUUCCGCGCAACCACUCUAAGCCGCUUGGAGGCUCUCUCCACAGCUCCUUUCCUGGGAUGGGUGUGGCAAACCCUGAGGCCUCCAGCAGGGGGCCUUGGGCCUAGUCCAACCCAUCACAAGCCCCCAGAUAACAAAGUCCAAUAAUUUUGGAUCAUGUCCCUGUACUGUGGUCCUAGUGAAACACUUGAAACAUUAGCUCCCUCACUCUG